Molecule: long non-coding RNA, 233 nt
Filed under: Chinchilla lanigera (long-tailed chinchilla)
Lineage: Eukaryota; Metazoa; Chordata; Mammalia; Rodentia; Chinchillidae
Description: lncRNA (ENSCLAG00000023847.1)
Source: RNAcentral
CUCACCCUGUGUUAGAGGCUGUGCCUGGGCUCCUUAACCGCGCACUUCUGACUGGGAGCGGAGCGAUCCAGUGGCGAAGGACCACCCAUGCAUCGCUGGCCUCUGCCUGCCAGGAAAAAAAAUGAAGCUCAUCUCGAACACACAGUUGGCAAGAUUUUCCUGACACCCACCGCACGACGGUCGUCUCUCUGGUGAAUGUUGCCCAGCUGCCAAUUUCUAUUAUUGCUGGAAUC